Long non-coding RNA from Oncorhynchus kisutch (coho salmon), 839 nucleotides. RefSeq lists it as uncharacterized. The transcript is spliced from 2 exons. The record is from RefSeq and is a predicted model, not a curated record. Lineage: Eukaryota; Metazoa; Chordata; Actinopteri; Salmoniformes; Salmonidae.
CAUCACCGAGCUCUCACUGAAAGCUGACAGUCCAUUGGUCUCCUCUCCAUCACCGAGCUCUCACUGAAAGCUGACAGUCCAUUGGUCUCCUCUCCAUCACCGAACUCUCACUGAAAGCUGAUGGGGCUGGUUUCCCGGACCCAGAUGAAACACACUCAUGGACCCAGAGAUGAAACACACUCAAGGACCCAGAUGAAAACAUACUUAUGGACCCAGAUGAAAACAUACUUAUGGACCCAGAUGAAAACAUACUUAUGGACCCAGAUGAAAACAUACUCAUGGACCCAGAUGAAACACACUCAUGGACCCAGAUGAAAACAUACUCAUGGACCCAGAUGAAACACACUCAUGGACCCAGAUGAAACAUACUCAUGGACUAAAACACUCUUUCAUUGAGAAUCUCCAUUGAAAGUGCUUCUUAGUCCAGGGGCUGUUAUGUAUCAUGUGUCUCAGAGGAGGAGUGCUGAUCUAGGAUCAGGUUCCCCCUGUCCAUAUAAUUGUAUUUGUUAUAAUCUUAAAGACAAAACAGAUCCUAGAUCAGCUCUGAGACCAUUGAUGCGGCCCCAGGAAUGUAGGCCUGAUCUGAGUGCAGGACUCUCCUAUACUGUCCGAUAAUGGAGGUAUACUGUAAUAUACCUUUUUGUUUUGUAGAACAGAGUAACUUCCCCCCCCCAAAAAAAACUGAUCCUUGAAAUAAAGCGAUUUUUUUUGUGUUUUUAUAUUCUCAAUCUCCCUCCACUUUCUUUUCAAAGUAACCCACUAGCUCGGUUUCCAUCUAACUGACGGGAGAUGUUCAAUGCGAAUAUUGUAAAAUCUGCAUAAAAACAAUAUGCAAAUUU